Molecule: ribosomal RNA, 292 nt
Filed under: uncultured bacterium
Lineage: Bacteria
Description: partial 16S ribosomal RNA
Rfam family: Bacterial small subunit ribosomal RNA
Source: RNAcentral
GUGCCAGCAGCCGCGGUAAUACGUAGGCAGCGAGCGUUGUUCGGAAUUACUGGGCGUAAAGAGUGUGUAGGCGGUUUUCCAAGUUUGGUGUGAAAUCUCCCGGCUUAACUGGGAGGGUGCGCCGAAAACUGGGAGGCUUGAGUGCCGGAGAGGAUAGCGGAAUUCCUGGUGUAGCGGUGAAAUGCGUAGAUAUCAGGAGGAACACCUGCGGUGUAGACGGCUAUCUGGACGGCCACUGACGCUGAGACACGAAAGCGUGGGUAGCAAACAGGAUUAGAUACCCCUGUAGUCC